Molecule: long non-coding RNA, 6023 nt
Filed under: Equus asinus (donkey)
Lineage: Eukaryota; Metazoa; Chordata; Mammalia; Perissodactyla; Equidae
Description: lncRNA (ENSEASG00005026425.1)
Source: RNAcentral
CAGCCCUUGACAGUCUGAUCCAAUUGCUUGGAAAAAUAAGUUACCGGCUAGGGGGUCAUACCCAGUUUUUGAGUUAAAACCCCCAAGCUUAUUCCCUGCCUUUCAUGUUGGUACAUAUUAAGGGCUUGUCCAAGUGAGGAAGUCCUAAGGCUGGGGCUGAAAUUAAAUUUGUCUUGAUGGUAUCAAAGGCCACCUGAGACUUCUUCGCCCAUUCUAGUGGCUCCUGCUCUAGCCCUUUUAGAGCCUUAUAGAUGGGCUUUACUUUGAGACCAUAGUUAGGAAUCCAGAUCCGACAGAAACCAGCCAUGCCCAAGAAUCUUCGUAGUUGUUGCUGGGUGGUGGGAGCGCUUAGGCACCUUAUAGAUUUUUUUUGGUCUGGCAGCAGUUCCUUUUGGCUUUGAUUUUUGAGGAAGACUGGCCCUGAGCUAACAUCUGUGCCCAUCGUCCUCUGCUUUAUAUGUGGGACACCUGCCACAGCAUGGCUUGACAAGUAGUGUGUAGGUCUGCACCGGGGAUCCGAACUGGUGAAUCCCAGGCCACCAAAGUGGAACGGGCGAACUGAACUGCUGCGCCACCGGACGGGCCCCCCCUUUGGGCUUUUGAUAAGGUGUUAUUCUGACUGAACCUUUAAACUCAACUCCAACCAGGCAUCGGCUUUGCUGAGGACUCACUGACAGUCUCCUUUCUUCAGAAUCUUCCCACUCCCGGCAGAGAGGGGUUGUUCUCCUGGAGGAUCUGUCCUUUCCCCUGAAACAGAGUAUCAGGGCAUUCCGAGGCGAGAAUCACAUCUUUACAUUUCUUGCCAGCUUGAGUUAUUCAACGGGGAGCUUUUGUGGACAAUUGCAGGGUGAGCUUUGGCAGUCUGGGGCCAGCACCACAGUACAAGUCUUGUUCGGAGCGCCACGCGUUCUCCUUGAGAUCUCUCUGCUAGUAUGAGAUGAAGAAAUGUCCUCUCACCCCUCCUGAGGCGUUCCAUUUUCCAGUGAGGAAUUUCAGGAUCAAAUGAACACACACAUGCACUCACACACAUACACUCACACAGAGACACACACACACAGACGUACACUCCUUCCAAGAACGAACAGCAAUUCUUAGGGACAAUGCAGUCUAAAUCCACAUUAAGAAAGAGAACCGUUUCCUUAGAGAUGCCAGCCUGCCCUCUCUGGAGAUAACAUUUGACAUUAUUAUGCAAAGCAGUUUCAGUUCUCCUGUCCUGCUUUUGGAACAGUGUAAGAGGCCAACGGUGUGAAAUGAAUAGGGCCCAUCACUCGCCUCGGCAAAAGACAGCCUACUUCUGAGGGCUCUGUCUUUGUCGGGCUAGAUCAAAUUCUUGAGCAGAUCUGCACUCUUUUCCAUCUCUGCAAAGGAAGUUUAAGAAUUGAUUAUCCUUCGCCUCAAGCAAACCCUCAGGAGGGAGGGGGAUGAGUGGGUUUGUCCUUCUGUUUACAUAUGCUCUGUCCACUCAUUUUGAAUUUAAUGACACAGAGUAUGUUAUGACCUUUUGAUACAUUGUAAAAAAACCAAGGAAUCAUACAAUGCACACUUUCUGCACCUUGUUUUUUUAAAAAACAUUGUAUUUUGAAGUAAUUAUAGACUCACAGUAAUUAUAGACUCAAAACUAGUAUAUAGAGACCCCAUGGACCCUUCCCCUAAUGGUGACAUCUUCCAGUGGUGGCAUCUGUAGUACCAUAUCAAGACCAAGACAUUGCCAUUGGUGCAAUACUGUUAACUAGAUUAAAGCCCUUACUCAGUGUUCAUUAUUUUUUAUAUGCGCUCAUUUGUGUGUGUCAAUGUGUGUGUGUGUGCACGUGUGCGCAUGCGGGCACACUCCUAACUUGUUGGUCUGUUUUGGAGACCUUCGACUAGCAGGCGGUUCAGAUCUUCAUCCUCAUUCCCUCUUCUGUUAUCUGGAUGGACUAUCACUUGUUGGUCCCCUGUUGAAGUCCACGUUAGUUGUUAAUGGCUUUUCUCUCAUACAUAGAGUACUGCAAUAGCAUCCUGUACACAGAGCUGGGAACACUUGUGCUAAGCCCAGGUCGAUAGUUGAAGGGAUAGGGCAAAGUGUAUGUGCCUUUGACAUUUUAAUAGAAAUUGCCAAUUGCCCUCCAGAAAAUCUGUGCCCCUGUCCUAUUUCACGGAACCUUCCUGAAGGGCAAUUCUGUGGGAUGGUGUCCAUUUCAAUGCACCUUCCUAGCACUCAGUUUCACCAAACAUUUUAACUUUUGCCAAUCGGGGUGAAAAAAGAAUCUUUCGAUUUACAUUUCUUUAAGGUGAUUAUUUUUUCAUAUGUUUGCAGGUAUUUGUAUUUCUUGUUUCCUAACUGCUUGUUCAUGCCCUUUGUCCUUAUUGGGUUGUUACUUUUUUUUUCUUAUUUAUUCUUCUAAACUCUUUAUCAGAGAAAAUUAACCGUUUGACUGUUACGUGUUGCAAAUAUUUUUAUUGAUUUGACUUUUGAAUUUAUGUCUUUUUAAUGUCCUAUAGAUGUUUUACAUUUUCAUGGAAUCAAAUUUAUUUAUCUUUUUUUUAUGGCUUCUGAGUUUUAUGUCAUGCUUAGAAGGGCCUUUCUUACUUCAAGAGUAUAAAAAAUUCACUCAUGUUUCCAUGCAGUUAUUCAAUGUUUUGUGUGUGUGUGUGUGUGUGUGUGUGCGUGUUUAAAUCUUUGGGCCAUCUGGUAUUUGUUCUUGAAUGGGAAGUGAGCUAGAGAUCCAGGUUAAUUUUUUCCCAAAUGGUUAACCAGUUAUCUCAGGGCUAUUUGAUUAUCCCCCAUGCCUUGAUUUCUUUGUUAUUUGCACAUGUUCUUGAGCCUAUUUCCGGAAUUCUUUUAUCCCAUUGAUUUGUCUGUCUGUUCCCAAGUCAGGAUUUUGAUAGAUAUUGCAAAGAGGAGAAAGGAAAGUGGAAAAAGUGCCAUAAAAUAAUUUCAAAUAGAGCAGCAUGGGCAAUUCAAAGCAGGGAGAGAGUAUUUUUAGUCGGGGUGGUCUGGAAAAGCUUCUUGAAAGAGGGACAUUUAAGACAAAGCUUGAAGGAUGAGAAAAUGAGUCAAAGGGAAAGCAGAGCAAAGGCAGGAGGCAGGAGGUGGUGGACGUUUGUGAGCAUGUCUGUGGACUCUGCAGGGGAGCCCACGCUCCGCCCCUUGUGUUGUUAUGCAUGCAGGUCUUGAAUGCUGUCAACAGCAGACAGAAAUCUUUGCAUUACUCUCUCAAGGCAUUUUGAGGAUACACCGCGAGAGCUACAAGUUGAGCAUCGCCUGUUUUCUAGGAAUAUCUAUUGUCAAUUCCAAUUCUCACCACCAUGAGCAAAGUUGAUAUUAUUAUCCCCAUUUUAGGAACGAAGAAUGAGGAAAAAGCCCAAGUGAGUUAAAUAACAGCUCAUGAGUAGCAGCACUGAGAUUCAAAUCCAUGGCCAGCAAGUGAAAAAAAAGAAUAGAAAACAUCACAGUCGCUCACUCAUGAUAGGGGGUUGGUCACAGGUGCUGUCCUUGCACUGUCCUUGCUCUGCCCAUGUCAUUGGAUCCCUCUCCCUUCUCUGUGCUCACCAGCUGAAUUGCAGUGCGAGUGCUUGCCCCAAAGUCAGCAUGUUGUUGGAAGUUGCAGGAGAGCCAGAGGACCCUAGGAAUUUGUGUCCCCUCCCUCCCUCCACAGCCCUGAACCGAUGACUGAUGGGGACGGGGAUAUACGUACUCUAGCUCUUUUCCCCCUCAUUGGGGUGACUUUGAGGUGACCCACAAUGCUCCCUAAACCCUGGGAAUGGUGCAUAAUUACCCUCUACGUGACUUGGAUCCAUAUUGCACCCUUACUGGUCCACCUUCCCCACUCCUCUAAAGACUUUUCCCUGGAAAUAGUUCCUAAUAAAUCACUUUUAUAUACAUCUUCCUCUAAGGCAGUAUUGUUUCAUGAAACCUGUUUCAGCUAUGUAGAGGGGUGGGUGAGUGUGUGAGUGUGUGUGUGUCUGUGUAUUGGUUGCCACUUAAUAUGCAUUUCUUACUGUGGAGCCAAAAAGUUCGAAAGCCAGUGUCCUAGACCACGUUAAGCUGUCUCUCUAUUUGUGUGGAUAGUUCACUGAGCUGGAAAGUUUCCUGGAUGCCCCAGAAUCAGAACUGCAGAUCAGAUUCCAGGUUUUAUGGUCUAUUGAGUACAGCGGCUUAAAAUACAUUGAAUAAAAAUGUAUUAGUCAUAGGUCUAGAGAAUGCCAUCAACUUUGAGCUGUUCUUUGAACUUCUUUGGUCAGUCUAGCCUGCCGAAUGGGUUUCAAAGUCCAGAUUUCCCUCUACUAAGGUUGAUAAAAGUGGUAUAAAAGUCUUGAUGGUUGCUUACUAAUUUUUUGCAAACUAGCAGAAAAAGGAAGACCAAGUUCGCCUUGCUGCAGAGCCAAAGGGCAUGCUUGCCCACAUGGCAGGGUAGUCUUCCCAGAGCUCCAGCCCAGGGCUUGGCUUAGAUGGAGAGAGGCGGGGUGUUCAGAAUUGCUCUGCAUUUACCUCUGAAGACAGUGCAGUUAAGGGAAGGGAAGAUAACACACGACAUACUCACUAACAACCAACAGGCCUUAGCAAAGAGAUCAGGCAAGUAUGUUUAUGCAAUCUGUGGGACCCUGGGGCAAGCCUGGCUGCCAGAAUCCAAGGAGGCCAGGCAUGGAGGGUGGAGGAUGCCAACUCCCAAAGUACACUGGACAUGAAAUCUGGAAGGUGGUGCAAGGGAAAGGUAAGAUACCUAUCUUCCCAAGGAAACCUUGGGAGCCCUGCCAUCAUGGUGUCAGUUGAAGAUCCUUACUUGUUAGUACAUGAGGUGGAUGGGCUCCAUGUUUAGUUGUUUUCUUUUUGAGGAAGAUUAGCCCUGAGCUAAUUGCUGCCAAUCCUCCUCUUUUUGCUGAAGAAGACUGGCCCUGAGCUAACAUCCGUGCCCAUCCUCCUCUACUUUAUAUGUGGGACGCCUACCACAGCAUCGCAUGCCAAGCGGUGCCAUGUCUGCACCCGGGAUCCGAACUGGCAAACCCCGGGCCACCGAAGUGGAACGUGCGCACUUAACUGCUGUGCCACCGGGCCGGCCCCAGACUCCAUAUUUAGAAAAGAAAAAAAUAUGUUGAAAAUCCAGUGGAAUGAUUAAGAAAAAAAGGAAGGAGAUCUCAGCUCAUCAAGUUGAGGAUCAUGACGACUGAGAGUUAAGAAUUUAUAGCACCUCUAAGAUUGUCCCAAGGAAGAGCCAUGCUUCAUGGUAGACAUGGACAUUCUGGUCACCCUGAAAGUGUCCCCCAGGGUGGGCAGUGGGUGCUCAUCAGUACCGUCAAGGUCUGGUUUAAGGAUCCUUCAGCACCAGCCAACUCCCUCUCUCCUGAUUCCACAUCCACUCCACCACUUUCUGCUUGUGACUCCAGGCAGGAGGUAUGGAUCACAAUAACACCUUUUCUCAUCACUGGAAGGGCAUGUUCCCCUCCAAAACUUAAUCCACUGGCUUUUGAGACGAAGUCAACUUCAUAGGAGUCUAGGUGGUGAGAGUCGGAACCGUACUCCCGCUGAGAUGUUGACUAUCUAAGUUGCUGGCUGACUAGUCUGAGAACCACGCCAGGAGUCAGGACCCUGUGAGGCCCAGCAUGAAAAGGGCAGUCAGAUCUCACAGGCUCCAAGACACAGAGGAGCAGGGCCCCCACCAGAGAUGAUCCUGAGGCCGAGCUGAGAACCUGGGGGGAGGCAGUGUGAGCGAUUCCUGACUGGGCGCAGCAAGCUUUGACUCUUGGUGAGACUCUAGGGUUCAGCCAGAAAGGGGGUGUUCACAUGGGGAUGGGGAUAGAGAAGCCUUUGACUCUAGGGAGCAGAGCAGGGGUGGAAGGGAGAUGGAUGGGGUCAGUUUUGUUCUCAAUUUCUGUCUUGCCCUCUGUUCUUGGAAAGUUAGCUGAGAAAGGAGGCUUUGAGCUCUAUCUCCAGGGUAAGAGCUGCUCAAUUUUUUUUUUUUUGAGGAAGAUUAGCCCUGAGCUAACUGCUGCCAAUCCUCCUCUUUUUUUGCUGAGGAAGACUGGCCCUGAGCUAACAUCUGUGC